RNAcentral lists this ribosomal RNA (800 nucleotides) under uncultured bacterium. RNAcentral's name for it is "bacterial SSU rRNA". It matches the Rfam family "Bacterial small subunit ribosomal RNA", at positions 8 to 805 of the family's 1533-position model. The record is from RNAcentral.
AGAGUUUGAUCCUGGCUCAGAUUGAACGCUGGCGGUAUGCUUUACACAUGCAAGUCGAACGGCAGCACGGGGCAACCUGGUGGCGAGUGGCGAACGGGUGAGUAACAUAUCGGAACAUGUCCGGAAGUGGGGGAUAACGUAGCGAAAGUUACGCUAAUACCGCAUAUGCCCCGAGGGGGAAAGGGGGGGAUCGCAAGACCUCCCGCUUUCGGAGUGGCCGAUAUCGGAUUAGCUAGUAGGCGAGGUAAAGGCUCACCUAGGCGACGAUCCGUAGCUGGUCCGAGAGGACGACCAGCCACACUGGAACUGAGACACGGUCCAGACUCCUACGGGAGGCAGCAGUGGGGAAUUUUGGACAAUGGGGGCAACCCUGAUCCAGCCAUACCGCGUGAGUGAAGAAGGCCUUCGGGUUGUAAAGCUCUUUCGGCAGGAAAGAAAUCGUGCAGGCUAAUAUCCUGUAUGGAUGACGGUACCUGAAGAAGAAGCACCGGCUAACUACGUGCCAGCAGCCGCGGUAAUACGUAGGGUGCGAGCGUUAAUCGGAAUUACUGGGCGUAAAGCGUGCGCAGGCGGUUCCGUAAGACAGAUGUGAAAUCCCCGGGCUUAACCUGGGAACUGCAUUUGUGACUGCGAGACUAGAGUGUAGCAGAGGGGGGUAGAAUUCCACGUGUAGCAGUGAAAUGCGUAGAUAUGUGGAGGAAUACCGAUGGCGAAAGCAGCCCCCUGGGCUAACACUGACGCUCAUGCACGAAAGCGUGGGGAGCAAACAGGAUUAGAUACCCUGGUAGUCCACGCCCUAA